Molecule: transfer RNA, 64 nt
Filed under: Leptestheria brevirostris
Lineage: Eukaryota; Metazoa; Arthropoda; Branchiopoda; Diplostraca; Leptestheriidae
Description: tRNA-Pro
Source: RNAcentral
CAAAAAGUAGUUUAUGAAAAAUUUAAACUUUGGAAGUUUACGAUGUGAGGUUUCACCUUUUUGA